GACGAACGCUGCGGCGUGCUUAACACAUGCAAGUCGAACGGUAAGGCCCUUCGGGGUACACGAGUGGCGAACGGGCGAGUAACACGUGGGUGAUCUGCCCUGCACUUCGGGAUAAGCCUGGGAAACUGGGUCUAAUACCGGAUAGGACCACUGCCUGAAUGGGGGGUGGUGGAAAGCUUUUGCGGUGUGGGAUGGGCCCGCGGCCUAUCAGCUUGUUGGUGGGGUGAUGGCGUACCAAGGCGACGACGGGUAGGCGGCCUGAGAGGGUGACCGGCCACACUGGGACUGAGAUACGGCCCAGACUCCUACGGGAGGCAGCAGUGGGGAAUAUUGCACAAUGGGCGCAAGCCUGAUGCAGCGACGCCGCGUGAGGGAUGACGGCCUUCGGGUUGUAAACCUCUUUCAGCACCGACGAAGCGCAAGUGACGGUAGGUGCAGAAGAAGGACCGGCCAACUACGUGCCAGCCGCCGCAGUAA
RNAcentral lists this ribosomal RNA (477 nucleotides) under uncultured bacterium. Its description in RNAcentral is "partial 16S ribosomal RNA". It matches the Rfam family "Bacterial small subunit ribosomal RNA", at positions 28 to 523 of the family's 1533-position model. The record is from RNAcentral.